RNAcentral lists this transfer RNA (87 nucleotides) under Clostridium polyendosporum. RNAcentral's name for it is "tRNA-Leu". It matches the Rfam family "tRNA". From Rfam's summary of the family: Transfer RNA (tRNA) molecules are approximately 80 nucleotides in length. Their secondary structure includes four short double-helical elements and three loops (D, anti-codon, and T loops). Further hydrogen bonds mediate the characteristic L-shaped molecular structure. tRNAs have two regions of fundamental functional importance: the anti-codon, which is responsible for specific mRNA codon recognition, and the 3' end, to which the tRNAs corresponding amino acid is attached (by aminoacyl-tRNA synthetases). tRNAs cope with the degeneracy of the genetic code in two manners: having more than one tRNA (with a specific anti-codon) for a particular amino acid; and 'wobble' base-pairing, i.e. permitting non-standard base-pairing at the 3rd anti-codon position. Lineage: Bacteria; Bacillati; Bacillota; Clostridia; Eubacteriales; Clostridiaceae. The record is from RNAcentral.
GCCGGAGUGGUGGAAUUGGCAGACGCAGCGGACUCAAAAUCCGCCGAGCUAACACUCGUGCGGGUUCGACUCCCGCCUUCGGCACCA